ACCCUGUGGUACAGGGGCUAAUAUGCUGGGCCUUUACCACUUCAGCCCAGGUUCGAUUCCUGGUCAGGGAA
Molecule: transfer RNA, 71 nt
Filed under: Homo sapiens (human)
Lineage: Eukaryota; Metazoa; Chordata; Mammalia; Primates; Hominidae
Description: tRNA-Lys-TTT-16-1
Source: RNAcentral